This 1426-nucleotide ribosomal RNA is filed under the name Salmonella enterica subsp. enterica serovar Livingstone. RNAcentral describes it as "partial 23S ribosomal RNA". It matches the Rfam family "Bacterial large subunit ribosomal RNA", at positions 1393 to 2802 of the family's 2925-position model. Lineage: Bacteria; Pseudomonadati; Pseudomonadota; Gammaproteobacteria; Enterobacterales; Enterobacteriaceae. The record is from RNAcentral.
AAGGCGAGGCCGAAAGGCGUAGUCGAUGGGAAACGGGUUAAUAUUCCCGUACUUGGUGUUACUGCGAAGGGGGGACGGAGAAGGCUAUGUUGGCCGGGCGACGGUUGUCCCGGUUUAAGCGUGUAGGUGUGUGUUCCAGGUAAAUCCGGUUCACUUUAACACUGAGGCGUGAUGACGAGGCACUACGGUGCUGAAGCAACAAAUGCCCUGCUUCCAGGAAAAGCCUCUAAGCAUCAGGUAACAUCAAAUCGUACCCCAAACCGACACAGGUGGUCAGGUAGAGAAUACCAAGGCGCUUGAGAGAACUCGGGUGAAGGAACUAGGCAAAAUGGUGCCGUAACUUCGGGAGAAGGCACGCUGACACGUAGGUGAAGUGAUUUACUCAUGGAGCUGAAGUCAGUCGAAGAUACCAGCUGGCUGCAACUGUUUAUUAAAAACACAGCACUGUGCAAACACGAAAGUGGACGUAUACGGUGUGACGCCUGCCCGGUGCCGGAAGGUUAAUUGAUGGGGUCAGCGCAAGCGAAGCUCCUGAUCGAAGCCCCGGUAAACGGCGGCCGUAACUAUAACGGUCCUAAGGUAGCGAAAUUCCUUGUCGGGUAAGUUCCGACCUGCACGAAUGGCGUAAUGAUGGCCAGGCUGUCUCCACCCGAGACUCAGUGAAAUUGAACUCGCUGUGAAGAUGCAGUGUACCCGCGGCAAGACGGAAAGACCCCGUGAACCUUUACUAUAGCUUGACACUGAACAUUGAGCCUUGAUGUGUAGGAUAGGUGGGAGGCUUUGAAGUGUGGACGCCAGUCUGCAUGGAGCCGACCUUGAAAUACCACCCUUUAAUGUUUGAUGUUCUAACGUGGACCCGUGAUCCGGGUUGCGGACAGUGUCUGGUGGGUAGUUUGACUGGGGCGGUCUCCUCCUAAAGAGUAACGGAGGAGCACGAAGGUUGGCUAAUCCUGGUCGGACAUCAGGAGGUUAGUGCAAUGGCAUAAGCCAGCUUGACUGCGAGCGUGACGGCGCGAGCAGGUGCGAAAGCAGGUCAUAGUGAUCCGGUGGUUCUGAAUGGAAGGGCCAUCGCUCAACGGAUAAAAGGUACUCCGGGGAUAACAGGCUGAUACCGCCCAAGAGUUCAUAUCGACGGCGGUGUUUGGCACCUCGAUGUCGGCUCAUCACAUCCUGGGGCUGAAGUAGGUCCCAAGGGUAUGGCUGUUCGCCAUUUAAAGUGGUACGCGAGCUGGGUUUAGAACGUCGUGAGACAGUUCGGUCCCUAUCUGCCGUGGGCGCUGGAGAACUGAGGGGGGCUGCUCCUAGUACGAGAGGACCGGAGUGGACGCAUCACUGGUGUUCGGGUUGUCAUGCCAAUGGCACUGCCCGGUAGCUAAAUGCGGAAGAGAUAAGUGCUGAAAGCAUCUAAGCACGAAACUUGCCCCGA